AGGGGGAAAACGUUCCUCCCAGGACUAU
RNAcentral lists this transfer RNA (28 nucleotides) under Equus caballus (horse). RNAcentral describes it as "partial transfer RNA-Thr". Lineage: Eukaryota; Metazoa; Chordata; Mammalia; Perissodactyla; Equidae. The record is from RNAcentral.